UACGAAGGGUGCAAGCGUUACUCGGAAUUACUGGGCGUAAAGCGUGCGUAGGUGGUUCGUUAAGUCUGCCGUGAAAGCCCCGGGCUCAACCUGGGAAUGGCGGUGGAUACUGGCGGACUAGAGUGCGGUAGAGGGUGGUGGAAUUCCCGGUGUAGCAGUGAAAUGCGUAGAGAUCGGGAGGAACAUCUGUGGCGAAGGCGGCCAUCUGGACGGAUACUGACGCUGAGACGCGAAAGCGUGGGUAGCAAACAGG
RNAcentral lists this ribosomal RNA (253 nucleotides) under uncultured bacterium. RNAcentral's name for it is "partial 16S ribosomal RNA". It matches the Rfam family "Bacterial small subunit ribosomal RNA", at positions 524 to 776 of the family's 1533-position model. The record is from RNAcentral.